AAUAGUCUAACGACUGAACCAGCAACUUGGAGGAAUGAAUAGCGAUAGCUAGUUGUAUUAAAUUUUACUACAACAUCGACUACGUCGAAUAAAAUUCUGGGUAGAAUUAUGAUAAUGACAUUGUUUACUCAUGUGUCUUGACCAAAUUACGUGCCAGCAGUCGCGGUAAUACGUAAAAGACUAGUGUUAUUCAUCUUUAAUAGGUUUAAAGGGUACCUAGACGGUAAACCAAGCCCUAGACGGGACUAGUUUGCUAGAGUUACUUACAAGGAAGCUAUGAAGUACUAAUGGUGUAGAGAUGAAAUUUUGUAAUACCAUUUUUCGAAAGAAAAGUCAUGGCACUGAUAAAGGCGAAAGCAUCUUCUUAUGUGAUAACUGACGUUGAAGGACGAAGGCUUUGGAUCGCGAAUAGGAUUAGAUACCCUAGUAGUCAAAGCAGACAAUGAUGAGUGUCAUAGAUUAGAUAUAUAAGUUUAUUCUAUAAAUGAAAGUGUAAGCACUCCACCUCAAGAGUAAUUUGGCAACAUUGGAACUGAAAUCAUUAGACCGUUUCUGAAACCAGUAGUGAAGUAUGUUGUUUAAUUUGAUAAUCCGCAAAACACCUUACCACAAUUUGAAUAUGGAUAUCUUUGAUAUCUUUACAAGCGUUGCACGGCUGUCUACAGUUAAUGUCGUGAGACUUUGGUUAGAUCCAUUAAAUUAACGCAAGCCCUUACUUUAUUUUCAAAUAAAGUUGUUCCCCGCUAUAUUGGAUAUGAUAACAGGGACUAAGACAAGUCAUCAUGACCUGAAUACUGUGGGCUAUAGACGUGCCACAUAGACCUCUACAAAAGGAUGUGAAAUUGUGAAAUUAAACUAAUCCCCCAAAAAAGGAUAUAACCUUAAU
Molecule: ribosomal RNA, 886 nt
Filed under: Lecidea albohyalina
Lineage: Eukaryota; Fungi; Ascomycota; Lecanoromycetes; Lecideales; Lecideaceae
Description: SSU rRNA
Rfam family: Bacterial small subunit ribosomal RNA
Source: RNAcentral